GAGGGUAGAGCUCAAUGGUAGAGUGCGUGCUUAGCAUACAGGAGGUCCUGGGUUCAAUCCCCAGUACCUCCA
Molecule: transfer RNA, 72 nt
Filed under: Camelus bactrianus (Bactrian camel)
Lineage: Eukaryota; Metazoa; Chordata; Mammalia; Artiodactyla; Camelidae
Also listed under: 2 other names
Rfam family: tRNA
About the family: Transfer RNA (tRNA) molecules are approximately 80 nucleotides in length.
Source: Rfam by way of RNAcentral